Oryzias latipes (Japanese medaka) is the source of this 1957-nucleotide non-coding RNA. The record is from RefSeq and is a predicted model, not a curated record. Lineage: Eukaryota; Metazoa; Chordata; Actinopteri; Beloniformes; Adrianichthyidae.
AGCCAAAAUAAUCCAUCUGUUGUCUGCUCUGAAAGUAGGAGAGCAACAUUUUAAUUAAUGUAAGCCUUCAUGUAUAUUUAGUCAUUUUCCGGCUGGCGUGCACAGAAUGUGCCGGGAAUCUUUGAUUCCAUUUGUUUUCCUUUUGGUCUGCUAUAAUCAGGCGAGUUUAAAAAUCCCGCAGGCGAGUUAUGAAGCAUUUCAAGGUGAAAUAUCGGAUUUUUUUCCUCUUUCCCCCUAAGUUGAUUAUCCAGGAGAAAUGAGAAAUGAGUCUCAUAUUUCAAGGCAGAGUUCAGUGAACUGUGGUCAUGUGAUUAAUACCCUUCUCAGUCUUUGCCGAAAAGCUAAUGCCUGGCUUCGGGUUUACAAAAAACAACAACAACAACAACCCCCCUCCCUCCUCCCAUCCGCUCAGCCUAGUUCCUCUGUCAGAUAUCUGUAGCGGUUGUGAGGAACUUUGAUCAUCAGAGUGCUGUGCUUGUCCAAACCAACUCCCACACAGUAAAAACACACACACACACACAUGCGGUUCAGCUUGCGUAACAUAUUUUGCAUUAGCUCGAACAGAGGAGGACUCUUGGACUGAAAUGCCUCCCGAUGGUGGCGACCGGCAGAAAUAGAGCCCUGCAUGAGGCUACACACUGAGCCGCACCGUUGUGUUUGCUGUGCCGGAGCUGGAGCCAAACAAAGAAGCGGGGAGAUGUCAGCUGCAGCCCGUCCACGCCCACACACACACAGGAAGGCACCUAAUUAGCUAAAAAAAUCUGACUGAGAUGCGCCUUGAGGAAAACACAAACUGAAGUUGUGUACCAGGACGUCUCCACAUCCGUUUGGCUUCGUGUGAUUUUUGGAUGUCAAAUCAAAAGGCGGUUGUCAGAGCAGACAGCUCGCUUGUUUCACGCAAACCUUCCAGUGGGCAGCGCUGGAGAAGCGCGUCGUACAGGAAAACACUGCUGCCUUUGUGAGCUCGGAUCCAUCAGGCGGGACCUGCGGAGGCAGGCGGGGCGAUCCGGGCUUUAAAGACUCCAGUGGGCCGGAGUGAUCUCCUGCCAGGGACUUGACGCGCCGUGGGGCAAGUAGCGACUUUCUGAUGACAGACAGAAUUUUCGCUCAGUGUAUUUAGACACGCAUGUGCAGUGACACAUGUAUCAGAGGAUGUACGAUGGGCCAUUCUGCAUGUCAAUCAAGUCAUGUACUUCUUAGUGAGGAUUAUUUUUUGGUUAUUUAUCUUUGCUGGCCUGCGAUCUACCCUCAUGUCCUUGAAGAUUGGCCGGCCGAUCGCGAUCGACCUAAUGAGCCCCCCUGACCUGGAGUGUGGCGUAGGGACACCAUAUGACAGCAUCACGCUUACUUCAUCACAUUAGCCAUGAAGUGAGGAGAACAAGAGGACCAAAGUAAGCGUCGGUCUGAAAGGGCAGCAAAGUGAAAUCUCAUCCAGGAUGUCAUGGAAGGAGAUCCGGAGAACCGCAGGCCUCCCUGGACUCGCUUUCCUUUACAGACAAAAACGCUGCAACAUGAACUGCAAAACAGAGUUUUGCUACACACCAAAAUAAAGGAACGGCAAAAAAUAAACAGAUAGAGUGAAAGAAAAGAGAAAAGAUAACCUGGAAAAACAGGAACCUUCUCAAGAGCGAGGACCCAUCCAGGAGGUCAUGAACAUGGAAGGAGGAGCAUCUUCAUCAGAUGGGAUUCACAGCAGAAAUGUGUCAUCAGAGUUUGUGCAAGUUUAGAUUUUUUGUUAGCAAAUGUUUCCAAAAUAAGAUGACUAAAAGUCGUGGUAUUAAGUAGUAUGUAUUCAGGUUUAACCCUUUAGCCCCUGAGCUGUUGCUGAUUCAAAGACGUCUUUGAGCGUCCGUUACGCAUCGACCAUUAAAGCAAAUUACAGAAUUCUGACAGCAGAGAAAAGUAGAUUUGCACCGAUAUGCAACACUUCACAAAUAAAUAAAUACACACAUACCAA